UUAACUCAAAUUUGUAUGGCGUUGCAAUGUUUGCCUACGUUUGCCAUUAGGGGCGCUGUUCCAACUGCAUACAAAUUCAAAAUU
Molecule: microRNA precursor, 84 nt
Filed under: Bombyx mori (domestic silkworm)
Lineage: Eukaryota; Metazoa; Arthropoda; Insecta; Lepidoptera; Bombycidae
Description: mir-2807 microRNA precursor family
Rfam family: mir-2807 microRNA precursor family
Source: Rfam by way of RNAcentral